RNAcentral lists this small RNA (138 nucleotides) under Klebsiella pneumoniae. RNAcentral describes it as "RtT sRNA". It matches the Rfam family "RtT RNA". From Rfam's summary of the family: This family represents a bacterial cis-regulatory element known as RtT RNA. The exact function of RtT is unknown although it is thought that it may be involved in changing the cellular response in relation to amino acid starvation. The record is from RNAcentral. Lineage: Bacteria; Pseudomonadati; Pseudomonadota; Gammaproteobacteria; Enterobacterales; Enterobacteriaceae.
UGCAUCUGAGGCCAGUGAGGAUGAGAACCUCCGGGGGCAGGGAAAGCACCCGACUCGCUUUUAAGCGAGAGAACGUUGCGUCAGCAACGGCCUGCAGGGCGAGCCACGAAGUGGUGAGUCAUCCCUCAUCACCGACCA